RNAcentral lists this ribosomal RNA (120 nucleotides) under Streptomyces sp. SID10815. RNAcentral describes it as "partial 16S ribosomal RNA". It matches the Rfam family "Bacterial small subunit ribosomal RNA", at positions 1 to 121 of the family's 1533-position model. Lineage: Bacteria; Bacillati; Actinomycetota; Actinomycetes; Kitasatosporales; Streptomycetaceae. The record is from RNAcentral.
CAUUCACGGAGAGUUUGAUCCUGGCUCAGGACGAACGCUGGCGGCGUGCUUAACACAUGCAAGUCGAACGAUGAACCACUUCGGUGGGGAUUAGUGGCGAACGGGUGAGUAACACGUGGG